RNAcentral lists this long non-coding RNA (2263 nucleotides) under Mus musculus (house mouse). RNAcentral's name for it is "long non-coding RNA chrX:138927181-138929444". The record is from RNAcentral. Lineage: Eukaryota; Metazoa; Chordata; Mammalia; Rodentia; Muridae.
AUUUUUUUUACACAAUGCUGUGCACACUGCUCCUAGUUGCCAAGCUUACCAGACAGGUGAGAUUUAGGUUUGUUCGUUGCAUUUUCUGCAUUUGAAUUUGGAGCAAGGAAUGGGAAAAGACAGGAAGGAAAGAAAUGUCUUCAAAGUUGAUGACAUACAAUUUAUGAUAUUUAAAAUUAAUUUCCAAAAAUAUGGUGCUGACAUUUGAGUUGCCUAGCCACUAGGUCUAUUGGAUGGGAGAGUGAAUAUUUUUUCCUUUUAGGCUGAAAUUAUACUGUUUAUUUGCCUACCAAAUGUCUAGCACUGUGAAUGCUUUCUUUUUAGGUAGGAAAGUUUCCUCACAUCCUUGCCAUUUUGCAAAUAUAGCUCAAUUAAGUCAGCCAACAAAUAUGACUUGAGUGCCCACAGAGAACACAACACUGGGUAUUUUAUCAUACAUUGCAAGCCUCUCAAGCAGGAGUUGAAGACGAAGAUUAAUUGAAGCCAUAGGCAUAUCAAGCUAUUGUGCCUUCCUAAUACAACAUCCCAAUUCCAGAGCUGGCCAUGACUCCACCUCCUUCCUGUGCCACAGUUCCUUUUGGAUAAUAUGCCUCUGGUGUAAGGAUUAGUCUUUCUCAAGUAACACGAGACUGCCCCAGCAUAAGAAAUGUUAAAAGUGUUUAUUAUAUAAAGGCAUUAUUUUGAAUGUUUAAAACACUCAUGAUAGAAAUUCCCAAAAAGUUAUUGAAUACAUACUAUGUACCAUAUUCUGUGUUGAGUGGAAUGUGGUAAGAUAACCAAAACCUAUUGGGAGGCUGGUUUUUCAAGACAGGGUUUCUCUGUGUACCCCUGGCUGUCCUGGAAUUCACUUUGUAGACCAGGCUGGCCUCAAACUCAGAAAUCUGCCUGCCUCUGCCUCCUGAGUUCUGGGACUAAAGGCAUGCACCACCACGCUCGGCUGGGAUGCAAUUUUUCUUGUCUUACUUAACUGAGACCCACAUUAGAGGAAGUAAUGAUGCUAAGAGGAAGGAAGAAAAAGGGAUAAAUAAGAGUGGGCAAGAGGGGAGAAAAUAUUAAUGGUAUUUAUUUAUUUAUUUAUCUAUCUAAUUAUUUAUUUUGCUGGCUAUAGAAAUUAUAAUGAGUCAAUGAAAUUCUAAGAAGAGUGUUAUUGUCACUAAGAGAACAGAGCUAGAAUAUUUGUAGUGAGGAUGGUGAAAAGAACCGGAAUAGGCUAAAUAAAAUGAGACCCAGGCCACAUUAACGGAAAGUACUGAGUCUUAAAGGCUUUGGAGAAAAGGAUAGCUUUCUAUCUUGGCAAUGGCACCUCUCAAACUGGAAAUGGAGGCAGGCCUCUGAAUUUUAGGGUUGCAUGUUUUCUCUGGUUUAUCAAAGCUUAUGUAUCUCAAUUAAUCUUGAAGAAAGAAGAAGUCAUUACUAUUAUAGUUAAAGAAGAACAAGUCAUGUGUGAAUUUUUCCCCUAAGAUCAUUAAUGUAGUCAAUAUAAUAUGUGGAUAUGCAAGCCUUAAGCACAUGUAUAAAAUCACACUCAUAUUCACAGAGCAAAUUCAGUUUAAGGCAUUUCAAGUUUCAAGAGUUUCUGCUUUGUUUUAGCCUUUAGUAGUUUCCCACUAGGUCACCAUUACAUGUCAUUAGACACUUCAUAAAAUAGCCCUUGCUUAUUGAAACAUGGAAUUAGAAUUAAGACCGAGCCCUAAUUGGUUUUAGAGCUGCUCAACAUUCUAUCAUACUUGUAUACUAGUCUCUAAGAUACUAUUGCGAGUGGAGCCAAAUGUGUUUAGAAGUUAACUGUGACUCUCUGAACAUUGUAAACAGAAAAUUGGAAGUUCUUAGAAAUACAUUUUACACAACAAAUGCAAUGGUAAAAACUUACGAAGAAUCCUAUUAGCAAAAUCAAAUAAAAAUAUAAAAAAGCAAACAAUAUACAAACAGGUCUUUAUGCUUCAGUUUUUAUUUUUCUCUGCUUAUCUGCACAAUAUUAUAAUAAAUUGCCCCUCUACAAAAGCACAGGGAAAGGAAAGGGAAAUUAGAUGUGAAUUUUGUGCUAUUAAAUAAGAGAAAUAAUGGCACCAUGGUGUCUUAUGGGUCAUUUUUAUUAUAAGAUAAGAAAACUUCUUUAAGUUUGUCUUUUUAGGCACAGUCCCUUCAUGACUAGAAAAAGAAAGCUAGAUUGUUUGGAGUCCCCUGAGGCGGGAAAAAAGAUUGAUUAUAUUCUAAGCACUGCCAGCAACAUUUUGUAUAAAUAAUUAAGUCUGAAGUUCAAGAC